UUUCCGUAGGUGAACCUGCGGAAGGAUCAUUAUUGUAUAACCGAGGUGCGAGGGCUGUCGCUGACCCGACAGGUCGUGCACGCCCAAGUGCCCUCACACACAUCCAUCUCACCCCUAUGUGCACCACCGCGUGGGUCCCCCUUUGGCUUGUUCGGAGGGGGGCUUACGUUUUCACACAAACUUUGUAUGCAGUGUAGAAUGUAUUUUUUGUUUUUGCGAUCACGCAAUCAAUACAACUUUCAACAACGGAUCUCUUGGCUCUC
Molecule: unclassified non-coding RNA, 263 nt
Filed under: plant metagenome
Description: partial contains small subunit ribosomal RNA, internal transcribed spacer 1, and 5.8S ribosomal RNA
Source: RNAcentral